AAGUCGUAACAAGGUUUCCGUAGGUGAACCUGCGGAAGGAUCAUUAACACAAGUAAAAAAAACAUUUUACAACACCCUAUUAUGAAUUUAAAUUUUUUAAUUUUAAUUUUUUAUAAAACUACAUUUAAUUUAUUUGACUAACAUUUUUUUAAUUAAUUUAUUUAAAAUUUUAUAAAACAACUCUUAACAACGGAUAUCUUGGCUCUC
This 207-nucleotide unclassified non-coding RNA is filed under the name fungal sp. RNAcentral's name for it is "partial internal transcribed spacer region". The stretch from base 1 to 46 matches the Rfam family "Eukaryotic small subunit ribosomal RNA", at positions 1786 to 1831 of the family's 1831-position model. The record is from RNAcentral. Lineage: Eukaryota; Fungi.